This 382-nucleotide unclassified non-coding RNA is filed under the name uncultured Myxococcales bacterium. RNAcentral's name for it is "contains 16S-23S intergenic spacer region". Lineage: Bacteria; Pseudomonadati; Myxococcota; Myxococcia; Myxococcales. The record is from RNAcentral.
UCCGGUUUGACACCGGCAGUCUCCCUAGAGUGCUCAGCUUAACCUGUUAGCAACUAAGGACAAGGGUUGCGCUCGUUGCGGGACUUAACCCAACACUUCACAGCACGAGCUGACGACAGCCAUGCAGCACCUGUCUUACCGUUCCCUUGCGGGCACUUCCUCAUUUCUGAAGAAUUCGGUAGAUGUCAAGUCUAGGUAAGGUUUUUCGCGUUGCGUCGAAUUGAACCACAUGCUCCACCGCUUGUGCGGGCCCCCGUCAAUUCCUUUGAGUUUCAACCUUGCGGCCGUACUUCCCAGGCGGGGUACUUAAUGCGUUUGCUUACGACACCGAAGGGGUCAAUUCCCCCGACAUCUAGUACCCAUCGUUUACAGCUUGGACUAC